This 4904-nucleotide long non-coding RNA is filed under the name Phaseolus vulgaris (common bean). Its description in RNAcentral is "long non-coding RNA (PVUL_LNC000057)". Lineage: Eukaryota; Viridiplantae; Streptophyta; Magnoliopsida; Fabales; Fabaceae. The record is from RNAcentral.
GAAGUAAUUUCUCCCUUUUCUUUCUUUCUUUAUUUUGUAAUGUUUGUUUAACAAUUCAAACAAUCUAAUCCUCUUAAAGAAUGGAAACUGUAUUCGUAGAAUCUACAUAUAGAUAAAAAGAAACCUUGCAUCAAAUGCAUAUGAAAUUUUUAUAAGAAGGAUCUUAUCCAUUGAAAUGAAUGGGAACAACACAACUUAAUUUUAAGUUCAUUAUAACAUUUCAAACCAUUCUAAAGAAGUUGAUGCUUCUCCUCGGCACUAUAAAAAUACUAAUAUCUCCACCCUUCCCCACCUUGCCCUGAUUGUGAAGCAGAUGGUUUUCUUAUGCUGCGGAACUUAUGAGAAUAGUGGAGUCUUUUUAGUGGUUUAUACCAUUCCCAUUGCUGGGAGAAGUAAACAUUGAAAUAGAUCUCUUAUAAAGACUUAGCAUUUGAAUUCGUUAUCAUUACUCAAAAAUUUAGUAAUAAUAGUUACAAGAUCGAGAAGAUGCCCAUUGUACAAAAAUGUCUCUAAUAAUCUAUGUUAGACUCCUAAAGUGAGAUCUAUUGUCCCUUGAAGCAAGAAAUUGUAUGUUGGAAAACAUCUUCACUGCAAGGAAUUGUGAGGCCACCCAUCGGAUGAUCAUGUCCAAACUCUUCCUCAGCUUGACUCAAUAAGUCUUGGAAUGAAGGUUGGUUCAAGUAUGAAAUGGAAAUCACAAACCGUUUUUGUUUCUCUCCAACAUACACAGCAAAAUAGCCCUUCGGUAUGUCUUCAGAUUUUGAAGAUGCUUGUCUUGCUGUCACUGAUGCCCGUCGGAUGGAAGGUAAACGGAAACCCAUUUUUUGAGUUUGUUUGAAGAAAGAAGAACAAUCUCAAAUUUACAGAGAAUGAACCUAAAUUUUGAUGCUUGAGGAUUACAAAGGCUUGUGUUGUUUUUGAAGGUAUAGGAUAGUGUAUAUAUAGCUGUUAAAAGAAGGAGGGCAUAGAGAUGAGAUAUCACGUGGUGAUGUUUUCAGUAUUUCUAUAAAGCAUAAAGAAGGGUACAGGAGUGUAACCCCACCUUGUUCAACAACAGGCAACAUUAAGCCUCCACAUGUACCCAAUGAAACGUGGCUAAGUGAAGGCCUAAAUUUCUUCAUGCAUUAAUUGGUAUUACAUAUUUUGCAAAACAUGCUUUGGACAUGUUUUCUUCACUUCACCUAAUGUUGAAGAACAGCUGGAUAGAUGAAAUUAUAAGGAAAUGGACAGCGAGAGAUGAUAGACCAUUAUAUUCAUGAGAUUUGAAAUCAUAAGUCUAAUCUAUUUCAGGUGAAUUGGCUUGAGAUAGUGUACUAUCGACUGUAACAUCUCCCAUUACUCCCUAAGAAACACAUUCAAGGCAACACCAUGUGCCCUUUCUGUUCUAUCGGUCCCAUGACUCUUAUCACAUAGCCCUUCACUCUCAAUCAUUCAAGUAGCCGACGAUAUCCUACAAAAACUUUCAUCUAUAUAUAUAUUCUAGGCUGCAAGCGUUUGGGACAACAAAAAUCAUUUCCUAAACCAUUUUAACUUCACAAACUAUCAUCUUAUUUGCAACUCUCUUUUCUCAACUUUCUCUUCCCAAGUAUCAACAUAUAAAACAUGGGUUUUCAUUUACGUGGUAUCAGAAAGGCAUCCCUUCCUGCAAUCCAAGCCUUUUCAAAAGUUGUGAACGUGCCAAAGGGUUACAUUGCAGUUUAUGUUGGAGAUAAAAUGAAGCGGUUCAUCAUUCCUGUAUCAUACUUGAACCAACCUUCAUUUCAAGAUUUGUUGAGUCAAGCUGAGGAAGAAUUUGGGUAUGAACAUCCAAUGGGUGGUCUCACUAUUCCUUGUGGAGAAGAUGUGUUCUUAGAUAUAACUUCUCGUUUCAAUAGGUGCUAAUUGCGUGAAGAUGAGACUGACUUAGAUGUAGACUAUACUUGACACAGUUUUGUAUCGUAGUUUUAGCCUUGAAAAUAUCCCCUCUUGCCAUUUUUGUUAUUUGUUUAGACAAGUGUAAAAGAAUGUUAAUCUGAAUGAGAAGUUUUCUACAUGAUGUUUCUUAGCACAUUUUCUAUAAAUCUGAUUUAUAUAUCACAUUUUCUCUUUAUCUAUCGAUAAGAUUUAAAUUAAACUAUUAACUCCACAUUUUAUAACAAAAUUAAUUAAAAAAACUACUUAGAAGAGAUAAGAAGAUAAGUUUAAAACAAAACGAGUGAUGUAACAGCAGAGAAAUAAAGCUAAGCAUAUGGCUGACUAAUUCAAUAGUAGUUGGGGUGAGGAGGUUGAGAGAGAUUUGUGUGUAACGUGUGGGGAGCUAACCGAAACAGUGAGCCACUUAUUAUUUAGUUGUAAGUAUGCAAUUCAAGUAUGGAAUUUGUGUAAUAAGUGGGUUGGGAUAACCUCUGUUUCGCAAAAUAUAUUAUAAAUUUGUCCGUCAUAAAUUGAUGCUUUUCGUUGACCAUAGCAAAACAUUUUUCUUUAGCUGUAGGGUGGCUGGUAGGAUCUGGCAAGGGUAGGAAGAUUCUCAGUUUAUCAUAAUAGGGCUUAUGUACACUUUAACCAAUAUGAAAUUAUUGGUAUGAACAACACUGUUAAUAAGAUUUGGAGGAACAUGUGGAUGGCUAUUGUUUGGAGGAUAUGGACUCGUAGAAAUAACAUAAUCUUUAGAGGUGGAAUUUUAGAUUCAGAAGAGGUUUUGCAUUGGCACAGAUCAUGACAUGGGCAUGACAACAGUUGUUUUUCAUAUUCUGAUUGGUGCCUAAAUCCAAUUGGAUGCCUGCAGUCUGUCAAAAAGGGCUAGUCUGUUAAAAAGGGUUGAAAUUAAGUGUUUAGAUAUUGGUACAGGGAUACCUGCAAAUUCUCAGUAAUUGUUACAUCAAUAUACAAGGAGUAAGUCUGCAUGUUAUGACCUUCUAUUUGCUUUGUUUAUGUGUUUCUUUUUAGUGCUCAGGUAUGCAUCUGUAUUGAACACACAGUGCAAAUUAACAUUGGAGUCCACGGGAGAUGAAACAAUUGUUGUUGAAGUUUCUCUCUAACCACAUGACAACCAAUGUCAAUGUGUUUAGUAUGUUUAUGGAAGCUGCUAAUUGUGCUAUAUUUCUUGCAGAUUGACUGUCAUAGAACAGGCUAGCUGCGUUGCAAGGUGCAAUGUGCAGAUCUUCAAGCAAGUAGACGAGCCACUCUAUCUUACUGUAGGUGGAGGCUAAAGCCCGAUACUCCGUUGUAUCUGGAAGUUAUUAAUGACCCAAAGUCGAAAAAGGUAAUGGAGGAAGAGGUGUAUAUGAUUGAGAAGAACAAAACUUGGAAGCUUGUUGACAUACCUCGAGAUUGAAAGGUACAUCAAAUGGAUGUCAAGUCAAUAUUUCUAAAUGGAUUUCUUGAACAAGAAAUUUCAGGUUUCAUUGGGGAAGGAAGAGAAGACAAAGUUUAUAAGUUGUCUAAAACCAUUUAUGGCUUAAAAGAUGUUCCCAGAGCAUGGUAUUAUCUUAUCAGGCUUAGGCUUUGAUAAAAGUCUUUUAAAAGGUGUUGAAUGGAGAUUAAGCAAAGUGAGGAUGAAAAAAAAAAUUGCAUAUUUGUUUACCAAGUCACUUCCAGCCAACAAGUUUGAGUUCUCAAUACAGAAGAUUGAAAUUUGCAGUUCAAAAAAUCAAAGAGGAGUGUUGAAUGUUGUGUUUUUUAACUGCAUAUAAAUGCACAUAAGUGCACGUGAUAUUUUAUUCUUCUGUUUUAAUUAUGUUUUAAUUGCUGAUUUAAUAUUUCUAGGUAUCUGGUCAUAAAAUCAUUUAAGAGUCAGUACUCCAGAUACUGUAAAUGUAAUUGUUAGCACAGAUAAUAAAAUAUCUUCCUCUAAUUUAUUCUUAAAAAAAACCAACAAUCUCAUCCUCUUACAAAAUGGAAACUGUGAUUUGUAGAAUCUAUAUAUGGACAAAAGAAACCUUACAUCAACUGCAUAUGAAAUUUUUAUAACAAAGGAUCUUAUCCAUUGAAAUCAAUGGGUACAACACGGCUUAAUUUUAAGCAUAUUAUAACUGUCUCGGCUGGGGAAAAAUCCGCUAGUGUAAAAAACUAAAAAACCUUUCAAACCCGUUAUGAGUAUAGUGGAGUCUUUUAGGUGUUGUAUACCAUUCCAAUUGCUGGGAGUAGUAAACAUUGAAAUACAUAAAUAGAAAGACUUAGCAUUUGAAUUCGUUAUCAUUACUCAAAAAAUUGGUAAUAAUAGUUACAAGUUCGAGAAGAUGCCUAUUGUACAAAAAUGUCUCUAAUAAUCUAUGUCAGUCUCCUAAAGUGAGAUCUAUUGUCCCUUGAAGCAAGAAAUUGUAUGUUGGAAGACAUCUUCACUACAAGGAAUUGUGAGGCCACCCAUGGGAUGAUCAUAUCCAAACUCUUCCUCCGCUUGACUCAGUAAGUCCUGGAAUGAAGGUUGGUUCAAGUAUGAGAUGGGAAUUACAAACCGAUUUUGUUUCUCUCCAACAUACACGGCAAAAUAGCCCUUUGGUAUGUCUUCAGAUUUUGAAGUUGCUUGUCUUGCUGUGAAUGAUGCCCGUCGGAUGGCAGGUAAACGGAAACCCAUUUUUUGAGUUUGUUUGAAGGAAGAAGAACAAUCUCAAAUUUACAGAGAAUGAACCUAAAUUUUGAUACUUGAGGAUUACAAAGGCUUGUGUUGUUUUUGAAGGUAUAUAGGAUAGUGUAUAUAUAGCUGUUAGAAGAAGGAGAGCAUACAGAUGAGAUAUCGCGUGGUGUUGUCUUCAGUACUUCUAUCAAGCAUAAAGAAGGGUACAAGUGUGUAACCCCACCUUGUUGAACAACGAACAACAUUAAGCCUCCACAUGCACCCAAUGAGAUGUGGCUAAAUGAAGGCCUAAGUCUCUUCAUGCAUUAAUUGGUAUUACAUAUUUUGUAAAACAUGUUUUGGACAUGUUUUC